GUACCUCUGGUGUACCAGUUGUUCUGCCAAGGGCAUGGCUGGGUAGUUAUGUACGGAAUGGAUAAGCGCUGAAAGCAUCUAAGCGCGAAGCCAACUUCAAGAUAAGAUUUCCCACCGCAAGGGUAAGACCCCAGAAAGACUAUCUGGUUGAUAGGUCGAAGGUGUAAGUGCAGCAAUGUAUUUAGCUUAUCGAUACUAAUAGGUCGAGGACUUGACCAA
This 219-nucleotide ribosomal RNA is filed under the name Clostridioides difficile. RNAcentral's name for it is "partial 23S ribosomal RNA". It matches the Rfam family "Bacterial large subunit ribosomal RNA", at positions 2703 to 2925 of the family's 2925-position model. The record is from RNAcentral. Lineage: Bacteria; Bacillati; Bacillota; Clostridia; Peptostreptococcales; Peptostreptococcaceae.